UGAACGCUGGCGGUAGGCCUAACACAUGCAAGUCGACCGGCAGCACAGUAAGAGCUUGCUCUUACGGGUGGCGAGUGGCGGACGGGUGAGGAAUACAUCGGAAUCUACUUUUUCGUGGGGGAUAACGUAGGGAAACUUACGCUAAUACCGCAUACGACCUACGGGUGAAAGCAGGGGAUCUUCGGACCCUGCGCGAUUGAAUGAGCCGAUGUCGGAUUAGCUAGUUGGCGGGGUAAAGGCCCACCAAGGCGACGAUCCGUAGCUGGUCUGAGAGGAUGAUCAGCCACACUGGAACUGAGACACGGUCCAGACUCCUACGGGAGGCAGCAGUGGGGAAUAUUGGACAAUGGGCGCAAGCCUGAUCCAGCCAUACCGCGUGGGUGAAGAAGGCCUUCGGGUUGUAAAGCCCUUUUGUUGGGAAAGAAAAGCAGCAGGUUAAUACCCCGCUGUUCUGACGGUACCCAAAGAAUAAGCACCGGCUAACUUCGUG
RNAcentral lists this ribosomal RNA (490 nucleotides) under uncultured bacterium. RNAcentral describes it as "partial 16S ribosomal RNA". It matches the Rfam family "Bacterial small subunit ribosomal RNA", at positions 30 to 507 of the family's 1533-position model. The record is from RNAcentral.